RNAcentral lists this ribosomal RNA (258 nucleotides) under uncultured bacterium. RNAcentral's name for it is "partial 16S ribosomal RNA". It matches the Rfam family "Bacterial small subunit ribosomal RNA", at positions 524 to 776 of the family's 1533-position model. The record is from RNAcentral.
UACGAAGGGGGGCUAGCGUUGUUCGGAUUUACUGGGCGUAAAAGCGCACGUAGGCGGAUCGUUAAGUCGGGGGGUGAAAUCCUGGAGCUCAACUCCAGAACUGCCUUCGAUACUGGCGAUCUUGAGUCCGGAAGAGGUGAGUGGAACUCCUAGUGUAGAGGUGGAAUUCGUAGAUAUUAGGAAGAACACCAGUGGCGAAGGCGGCUCACUGGUCCGGUACUGACGCUGAGGUGCGAAAGCGUGGGGGAGCAAAACAGG